GACAGAGGUGCCGAGCGUUAGGCGGAAUCACUGGGCUUAAAGCGUGUGUAGGCGGGUCGUUAAGUGUCUUGUGAAAUCCCACCGCUCAACGGUGGAACUGCUGGGCAUACUGGCGAUCUUGAGCCACCUAGGGGCAGACGGAACAAGCGGUGGAGCGGUGAAAUGCGUAGAUAUCAUUUGGAACGCCAAUGGUGAAAACAGACAGCUGGGGGUGUCCUGACACUGAGACGCGAAAGCCAGGGGAGCAAACGGG
RNAcentral lists this ribosomal RNA (253 nucleotides) under uncultured bacterium. RNAcentral describes it as "partial 16S ribosomal RNA". It matches the Rfam family "Bacterial small subunit ribosomal RNA", at positions 524 to 776 of the family's 1533-position model. The record is from RNAcentral.